This is a non-coding RNA of Picea glauca (white spruce), 72 nucleotides long. The record is from Rfam. Lineage: Eukaryota; Viridiplantae; Streptophyta; Pinopsida; Pinales; Pinaceae.
GUCGUUUUAGCUCAGCUGGAACAGCGCGUGGUUUUUAACCUUAUUUUUUGGGUUCGAUUUCCACAGAUGGCA